AUACGGAGGGAUCGAACGUUAAUCGAAAUUACUGGGCGUAAAGCGCACGUAGGUGGUUUAUUAAGUGGGAUGUGAAAGCCCCGGGCUCAACCUGGGAACUGCAUUCCAAACUGGUGAACUAGAGUACGAUAGAGGGGGGUAGAAUUCAGAGUGUAGCGGUGAAAUGCGUAGAUAUUCUGAGGAAUACCGGUGGCGAAGGCGGCCCCCUGGAUUGAUACUGACACUGAGGUGCGAAAGCGUGGGGAGCAAACAGGAUUAGAAACCCCAGUAGUCC
This 274-nucleotide ribosomal RNA is filed under the name uncultured bacterium. RNAcentral describes it as "partial 16S ribosomal RNA". It matches the Rfam family "Bacterial small subunit ribosomal RNA", at positions 523 to 796 of the family's 1533-position model. The record is from RNAcentral.